AGAAUAUGUAGCUCAAAAGCGCUCUUUCCAACAUCUAGAAAUCCGACGAGAACUCGAUUUGAACUUCUCGCUGGCGCCAUCUAUCUACUCGCUGCCCCAAGCGUGCCACUCAAUCUCAUUUCUCCAUUGCGCAAACUCAACUCAUCCUGGAGCGAAAACACCACUCUCAUUCAGCCCAGUGGAGGCAGAGACCAAGCAGGAAAACAGAGAAGCAGCUGGACAGAGUUGGAACUUCACUUCGAAGAUGAAAUAGGUGGUCGCAGGAUGUAGGAGCCCAAAGGUGGAAGCCACAUUCUGGGGAAGCAAGAUAUUUGUGGGAGCUCUGCCUUUAAUGGCGCAUAAUGUGCAUAAAAAUAUGAGUAUUCGU
Drosophila melanogaster (fruit fly) is the source of this 367-nucleotide non-coding RNA. NCBI's taxonomy places the organism in Eukaryota, Metazoa, Arthropoda, Insecta, Diptera, Drosophilidae. The record is from Ensembl.